This 316-nucleotide unclassified non-coding RNA is filed under the name Hevea brasiliensis (rubber tree). Lineage: Eukaryota; Viridiplantae; Streptophyta; Magnoliopsida; Malpighiales; Euphorbiaceae. The record is from RNAcentral.
GGAUACCAAUGAUCUGCAACUCCAGGAAACGCAGAGGCAAGAUAAGUAAGGAUUGCAUGGCUUUCAAAUAGCUGAAGCUCUCCAUGAAUGAUAGCCGGGACUUGCCCCAUAGGAUUUAUCUCUUUAUAUUCGGGAGACUUAUGCUGUCCCUUGGAUAAAUCAAUCGUCACCUCCUCAAACUCUAUAUUAUUCGCCUUGCAGAAGAUCAUAACAGCUCGCGAUGGCUGAGAUGCUCGAUGUCCAUACACUUUGAGCUCCAUUUUCCUCUCUCGUUCUCUCCCUCUUAUUCUCUGUAUCACUUUAUGUGUGUUUAGAG